Molecule: long non-coding RNA, 860 nt
Organism: Micropterus salmoides (largemouth bass)
Lineage: Eukaryota; Metazoa; Chordata; Actinopteri; Centrarchiformes; Centrarchidae
Exons: 2
Source: RefSeq, a predicted model, not a curated record
AGGGAUGUAUUGUUUUAUUAUUGUCCAGUAGGUUAUAGUGGGUUCGGGGGUUCCCAUUGUUGGGUCCCCCGUUUUAAGGGGGGGUGAUGCCCUGUGGGGUCAUGAGUGGGUGUGGUCUAUCUCUCUCUCCCUUGCAGAUCAAGAGCUCGUUAUGGUAACUGGAAGCACCUGGGCCCAGUGUCUUUUGAGGUUAGACUAUUUUUAACCCUGUCUUUUCAUUCUGCAGGAGGCUGCUGUUGACACCAGGUCAGACCUCCCUGCGGGCUGGCUCCCCGGUUUCCCCUUCAGUUUGGUUUUGGAUAAUUGCUUUGUAGUAUUGACCUUUUUUUCCACCUUCAACACCACCUUCACACAUAUUCAUGCAACCAUCAUCCUGUGAGGAUGAUGCUGAGAAACCAGCUGAGAAACCAGCGGAUGUGUUGCUGAAGAUUUGCAGCUCUAUUUUAAGAAAUGUGAAGUUCCUGGGGCCAGAGCGGGCGACACUGAAUCCUAUUUAAAACUACCGACAGUGUGAUGUCAAGUUGCUCUGUGUUGCCACAAGAGGUCUCAACAUGACUGUGUAAAAAGAGCUCCCAUAACACCUUGAUAACCAGAAAUAUGGGAGACAUGGGAUUGAUUUAAAUUCACCUAAAUAGUGUUUUAGACGGCUAGCUGUAGUCUCGCGCUGAAGUGCCGUGGGAACUCAGUUGUUGCCGGAAAAAAGUAAAUAGCAGUGUGCAGGUGGGAGGAGCGUAGUGUGUGAAUAGUGAAGAAAUUGUUCGCGUUUGUGCCAUUCCAAAUUGUGGUAACAGAAUGCGAAAAUACAAGAACCUUUUUCCAGCAAAUUAUUACAUUAUUAUAAAACAAGUUAUUUGGUUAUA